Molecule: ribosomal RNA, 786 nt
Filed under: Copepoda environmental sample
Lineage: Eukaryota; Metazoa; Arthropoda; Copepoda
Description: bacterial SSU rRNA
Rfam family: Eukaryotic small subunit ribosomal RNA
Source: RNAcentral
AAGCUCGUAGUUGGAUCUCGGCAGGCUGGGGGCGGUUCGAUGUUUGUCGCUUACUGCUCCGUUUGCCUGUGUUUGUUUUGGCGGAGGUGGCCGGGUGUUCUUGACCGAAUGUCCGUUUUUGUCACGCCGUCAGGUUUACUUUGAAAAAAUUAGAGUGCUCAGAGCAGGCUUGACACGCUUGAAUAGUCGUGCAUGGAAUAAUGGAACAGGACGUCGUUUCUAUUUUGUUGGUUUUCGGAAAUCGACGUAAUGAUUAAUAGGGACAGUCGGGGGCAUUAGUAUUCAGACGACAGAGGUGAAAUUCUUGGACCGUCUGAAGACUCACUACUGCGAAAGCAUUUGCCAAGAAUGUUUUCAUUAAUCAAGAACGAAAGUUAGAGGUUCGAAGGCGAUCAGAUACCGCCCUAGUUCUAACCAUAAACGAUGCCAGCUAGCGAUCCGCAGCUGUUACUUCCUUAGGCUCUGCGGGCAGCUUUCCGGGAAACCAAAGCCUUUGGGUUCCGGGGGAAGUAUGGUUGCAAAGCUGAAACUUAAAGAAAUUGACGGAAGGGCACCACCAGGAGUGGACGUGCGGCUUAAUUUGACUCAACGCAGGAAAUCUCACCAGGCCCGGACACCGGCAGGAUUGACAGAUUGAGAGCUCUUUCUCGAUUCGGUGGGUGGUGGUGCAUGGCCGUUCUUAGUUGGUGGAGUGAUUUGUCUGGUUAAUUCCGAUAACGAACGAGACUCUGUCCUGCUAACUAGUGCUCUCGUUUCUUUUGUUCACGAGAGCAAUCAUCUUCUUAG